This 435-nucleotide ribosomal RNA is filed under the name uncultured bacterium. Its description in RNAcentral is "partial 16S ribosomal RNA". It matches the Rfam family "Bacterial small subunit ribosomal RNA", at positions 29 to 509 of the family's 1533-position model. The record is from RNAcentral.
AACGAACGCUGGCGGCAUGCCUAACACAUGCAAGUCGAACGAUUGCCUUCGGGUGAUAGUGGCGCACGGGUGCGUAACGCGUGGGAAUCUGCCCUUAGGUUCGGAAUAACAGCUGGAAACGGCUGCUAAUACCGGAUGAUAUCGCGAGAUCAAAGAUUUAUCGCCUGAGGAUGAGCCCGCGUUGGAUUAGGUAGUUGGUGGGGUAAAGGCCUACCAAGCCGACGAUCCAUAGCUGGUCUGAGAGGAUGAUCAGCCACACUGGGACUGAGACACGGCCCAGCCCCUUAGGGGGGGAAGCGGUGGGGAAUAUUGAACAAGGGGCGCAACCCUGACCCAGCAUGGCCGGGUGAGUAAGAAGGCCCUUGGGUUUGUAAACCUCUUUCCCCGGGAAAGAUAAUGCGUGCACGGGGAAAAAAGCCCCCGCCAACCCCCGCC